GACGAACGCUGGCGGCGUGCUUAACACAUGCAAGUCGAACGAAGUGGCGAACGGGUGAGUAACGCGUAAUCAACCUGCCCUUCAGAGGGGGACAACAGUUGGAAACGACUGCUAAUACCGCAUACGGAAGGAGGGGAAUGCGUCUGAUUAGCUAGUUGGAGGGGUAACGGCCUACCAGGGCGAUGAUCAGUAGCCGGUCGGAUAGGCUUAACCGCCCAAUUGGGACUGUGACAAGGCCCAGACUCCUACGGGGGGCAGCAGUGGGGAAUCUUCCGCAAUGGACGGAAGUCUGACGGAGCAACGCCGCGGGAGUGAUGACGGCCUUCGGGUUGUAAAGCUCUGUUAAUCGGGACGCGGUACCGGAAUAGAAAGCCACGGCUAACUACGUGCCAGCAGCCGCGGUAAUUC
This 408-nucleotide ribosomal RNA is filed under the name uncultured bacterium. RNAcentral describes it as "partial 16S ribosomal RNA". It matches the Rfam family "Bacterial small subunit ribosomal RNA", at positions 28 to 526 of the family's 1533-position model. The record is from RNAcentral.